Molecule: ribosomal RNA, 492 nt
Filed under: uncultured bacterium
Lineage: Bacteria
Description: bacterial SSU rRNA
Rfam family: Bacterial small subunit ribosomal RNA
Source: RNAcentral
CGAACGCUGGCGGCGUGCUUAACACAUGCAAGUCGAACGAUGAAGUUCCUUCGGGAAUGGAUUAGUGGCGAACGGGUGAGAAACACGUGAGAAACCUGCCUUUCAUUUUGGGAUAACUCCAGGAAACCGGAGCUAACACCGAAUACUCCGUCUCGGCGGCAUCGCUGAGCCGGGAAAAAAUUUUGAUGAAAGAUGGUCUCGCGGCCUAUCAGCUAGUUGGUGAGGUAAUGGCUCACCAAGGCGACGACGGGUAGCCGGCCUGAGAGGGCGACCGGCCACACUGGGACUGAGACACGGCCCAGACUCCUACGGGAGGCAGCAGUGGGGAAUAUUGGGCAAUGGGCGCAAGCCUGACCCAGCGACGCCGCGUGAGGGAUGAAGGCCUUCGGGUUGUAACCUCUUUCAGUAGGAAGAAGCGAAAGUGACGGUACCUAAACGAAGAAGCACCGGCUAACUAUGCGCCAGCAGCCGCGGUAAUCUGAUGGCGCGAGG